AUUGAACGCUGGCGGCAGGCCUAACACAUGCAAGUCGAGCGAGCGGCGGACGGGUGAGUAAUGUCUGGGAAACUGCCUGAUGGACGGGGAUAACUACUGGAAACGGUAGCUCAUACCGCAUACCAUCAGAUGUGCCCAGAUGGGAUUAGCUAGUAGGUGGGGUAAUGGCUCACCUAGGCGACGAUCCCUAGCUGGUCUGAGAGGAUGACCAGCCACAGUGGAAAGGAGAGACGGUCCAGACUCCUACGGGAGGCAGCAGUGGGGAAGAUUGCACAAUGGGCGCAAGCCUGAUGAAGCCACGCCGCGUGUGUGAAGAAGGCCUUCGGGUGGCAAAGCACUUUCAGCGGGGAGGCGUUACCCGCAGAAGAAGCACCGGGUAAGUCCGUGCAAGCAGCCGCGGUAAUAC
This 406-nucleotide ribosomal RNA is filed under the name uncultured bacterium. Its description in RNAcentral is "partial 16S ribosomal RNA". It matches the Rfam family "Bacterial small subunit ribosomal RNA", at positions 29 to 526 of the family's 1533-position model. The record is from RNAcentral.